AAAUCAUGGAUUCAGUUUGAUAACAGUUUACUUACUUCUCAACGUGUUCAGGUAAGAAUAAUAGGAUAUGAACUGUUGGCAUGGGAUACAACACGGUGAGAUUGAUUACUACGUGUGUGAGCUAGUCUACAUAAAUAAUCAAUCAAGGGGCUCGUUUCCGAAGAACAACAUCUAUGUACCUCCUAACUACAGCUACGUGUGUAACCUAGUCUGCAGGAAGCACCAACCAACCAGGCCAAUGGCAAUGAGGAAACAGACCACACAGAGAAAGAGAGGAAUGCAGGGCAGUAGUAAUUUGCACGGCAUUUUUCCAAGCAAG
RNAcentral lists this long non-coding RNA (319 nucleotides) under Hordeum vulgare. RNAcentral's name for it is "long non-coding RNA (HVUL_LNC018150)". The record is from RNAcentral. Lineage: Eukaryota; Viridiplantae; Streptophyta; Magnoliopsida; Poales; Poaceae.